AAAACUUUCAACAACGGAUCUCUUGGUUCUGGCAUCGAUGAAGAACGCAGCAAAAUGCGAUAAGUAAUGUGAAUUGCAGAAUUCAGUGAAUCAUCGAAUCUUUGAACGCACAUUGCGCCCGCCAGUAUUCUGGCGGGCAUGCCUGUUCGAGCGUCAUUUCAACCCUCAAGCACAGCUUGGUGUUGGGACUCGCGUUAAUUCGCGUUCCCCAAAUUGAUUGGCGGUCACGUCGAGCUUCCAUAGCGUAGUAGUAAAACCCUCGUUACUGGUAAUCGUCGCGGCCACGCCGUUAAACCCCAACUUCUGAAUGUUGACCUCGGAUCAGGUAGGAAUACCCGCUGAACUUAAGCAUAUCAAUAAGCGGAGGAAAAGAAACCAACAGGGAUUGCCCUAGUAACGGCGAGUGAAGCGGCAACAGCUCAAAUUUGAAAUCUGGCUCUCGGGCCCGAGUUGUAAUUUGUAGAGGAUACUUUUGAUGCGGUGCCUUCCGAGUUCCUUGGAACGGGACGCCAUAGAGGGUGAGAGCCCCGUCUGGUUGGAUGCCAAAUCUCUGUAAAGUUCCUUCAACGAGUCGAGUAGUUUGGGAAUGCUGCUCUAAAUGGGAGGUAUAUGUCUUCUAAAGCUAAAUACCGGCCAGAGACCGAUAGCGCACAAGUAGAGUGAUCGAAAGAUGAAAAGCACUUUGAAAAGAGAGUUAAAAAGUACGUGAAAUUGUUGAAAGGGAAGCGUUUAUGACCAGACUUGGGCUUGGUUAAUCAUCUGGGGUUCUCCCCAGUGCACUUUUCCAGUCCAGGCCAGCAUCAGUUUUCCCCGGGGGAUAAAGGCGGCGGGAAUGUGGCUCUCUUCGGGGAGUGUUAUAGCCCACCGUGUAAUACCCUGGGGGGGACUGAGGUUCGCGCAUCUGCAAGGAUGCUGGCGUAAUGGUCAUCAACGACCCGUCUUGAAACACGGACC
RNAcentral lists this ribosomal RNA (954 nucleotides) under uncultured Hypocreales. RNAcentral describes it as "eukaryotic LSU rRNA". The stretch from base 312 to 954 matches the Rfam family "Eukaryotic large subunit ribosomal RNA", at positions 1 to 667 of the family's 3401-position model. Lineage: Eukaryota; Fungi; Ascomycota; Sordariomycetes; Hypocreales. The record is from RNAcentral.